GUUUAGGUUCUUUUUUGUAGAAAACCUAUUUAGGUUUGACCUGUGAGUUGUGGGUAAAUCAUUGGGUAGACGUAGGAGUUUGACUUGAUUUUGUUCUCUGUUUGAUUGGUCUUUAUUUUGACCAAGUGUUUUUAGCUCUUUAAAUUGUAAUUGAUUUGAGAAAGGCGAGUUAACUUGUUAAGAUUAUUAUUGUUAUAUUCGUUGGAGCAAUAAUGUUAGUUAAGGAUGGUGAUUUGAUCAUUAAGGAGAAUAAUGUCAUACUUUGUUCAAUUAAGAAAUGAUUAUACGAUUAUGAUAUGAGCAGUUGUAUCAGUUAGUUUUGAUAUUGGAGAAUUAUUUGUUAGAGUUAUUUCAGGUAAUUACAAAUUAUUAUGAUUUUGGAAUUGAGGAUUUUAUUUGGGUUAGAUUCUGAUUUUUGUUAAGUUGUGAAUAAUUUGAGGUAUGUGAAUCGGUGGGAUAAUAUGAUAAAGUGAAAACUAUUAAGUACAAAGGAUCUCUUGAAAUUUUGAGUUAUUGUAAAGAUUCGAGGUAAUUAGAUUAAUUUUUUGGAGUAAAUGAAUUUUGCGAUUAUUUCCUAGUAGAAUAUUGGAGUUAUUUUAUAUGAAAUUUUGAGUGAUAGUAUGAGGAGAUUUUGGAAUUUGUUGGGUUAAGGUUUGCACCAAGAGAAUGAUUGAUUUAUUAAAUGAUUAGAUAUUAAGUGAUGAAUCUUUAAGAGAUUUUGAAAGCUAUCGUUUGUUUAUUCAGAUAGUAGGAUAUAUGAUUUGGAGUUUGGUAUGGUGAUGGAGAGAUCUUAGUAGUAGUAUAUUUUUGGUGUAAUAAUAGUUGAGAACUAAUUUGAUUGGAGGUUAUGAUAUUUUGAAACUCUUAAAGACUUAGGAGAGUUGGUGAUAAAGAGAUAUUAGUAGUAUAUUCUUUGGUGUAAUAUUAUUUGGUGAAUAGUUCAAAUUAAGGAUGAGAUAUUUUGAAGCUCUUGAGGACUUGGGGAGAGUUGGUAAUAUGGUUUGCAUAGUUGUUUUGGUUAUCUGAUGUCUUUAGAGUUUUGCGUGAAUUUAUGUAAAAUUAAAUAAAAAUAAUUUGUUAGAUCUUUGUCAUGUGUGGAAUAUAAACAUUUUAACGAGUUAAAAAUAAUUUUAAAUAUUUUGGUUAUUUGAAUCGUAUUUAGAUGAAGAAAAAUGUUUGUGAUUUCGAAUUAUGUUCCGAAGAGUACGUACGCUUGCAAGAAUGAAACUCAAAGAUAUUAACGGGGGGCCCGCACCAACAGUGGAUCAUGUGAUUUAAC
This 1279-nucleotide long non-coding RNA is filed under the name Panax ginseng (ginseng). RNAcentral's name for it is "long non-coding RNA (PGIN_LNC011654)". The record is from RNAcentral. Lineage: Eukaryota; Viridiplantae; Streptophyta; Magnoliopsida; Apiales; Araliaceae.